UGAUCACACGUUGGCGGAAACGACAUGCGAAUUUGGUAUUUUGUUUUGAUGGAGUAGAAAUAGGGAUAUAUAGUAAUUAUGCGAUGAUAGCACUAGCGUCAAUAAUUUACGUUAAACUUUAGGCUAAAGGAACUUUCGUGUGUUUCAUUGUCUUUCUUUUGUAGCGGCAAGUCCCUGUUCAAGGGGACUGGUUUGUGGCUUCAAGGAGGAGCGGAUCUGUCCGAACCCCGAAAGGCCAUGCAGUUGUACAUGUGGUCAUCCUGCUCCUCAACCUUCGCCAUGCGGUGGGGCAAUAAGCAUUGGAGUUGCCUCUGAAAGCUAUAUAGAAGACGACCUCGGUUUGUCCCGUUGUCCGACGCACAGUUGCGGCUGCGACCAGAAAGUUACUUGUUUGCAUACUGUAAACUCGUGCAAAUGCAAAUGCGCGACAAAAUAUGAACACUGCUCGCGUCCUUGGAAAUCUACUUGCCCCGUCGUCUAUUGCCGUGGCGAGCAUACAAAAAGAUGUUUGUGCACCUGCGUUAAUCCGCCGCCUAGCCAUUCCCCGAGCCGGCCCUGCUGUAACCAAGUAAACCAAGCACCCAGACCAUAUCCAAAUUCACCUUGUUGCCAAAAUGGGGCCACAACUGCCGUAGCUCCAGUUCAAGGCCGGCCCUGCUGUCAGCCUAUUGGAGGGGGCCGUUGAUUUAUCGCAGAAAAUGCAACGAGAAAGUUCAAUAAAUCGAGACCGCAGGAAA
RNAcentral lists this long non-coding RNA (737 nucleotides) under Dermacentor andersoni. Its description in RNAcentral is "uncharacterized LOC126533837". Lineage: Eukaryota; Metazoa; Arthropoda; Arachnida; Ixodida; Ixodidae. The record is from RNAcentral.